This 729-nucleotide ribosomal RNA is filed under the name Ureibacillus xyleni. Its description in RNAcentral is "bacterial SSU rRNA". It matches the Rfam family "Bacterial small subunit ribosomal RNA", at positions 62 to 792 of the family's 1533-position model. The record is from RNAcentral. Lineage: Bacteria; Bacillati; Bacillota; Bacilli; Caryophanales; Caryophanaceae.
UCGAGCGGACCUUUAGGAUUUAUCCUGAAGGUUAGCGGCGGACGGGUGAGUAACACGUGGGCAACCUGCCCUAUAGUUGGGGAUAACUCCGGGAAACCGGGGCUAAUACCGAAUAAUUCAUUUCAUCACAUGUUGGAAUGAUAAAAGAUGGUUUUGCUAUCGCUAUAGGAUGGGCCCGCGGCGCAUUAGCUAGUUGGUGAGGUAACGGCUCACCAAGGCGACGAUGCGUAGCCGACCUGAGAGGGUGAUCGGCCACACUGGGACUGAGACACGGCCCAGACUCCUACGGGAGGCAGCAGUAGGGAAUCUUCCACAAUGGACGAAAGUCUGAUGGAGCAACGCCGCGUGAGUGAAGAAGGUUUUCGGAUCGUAAAACUCUGUUGUAAGGGAAGAACAAGUACAGUAGUAACUGGCUGUACCUUGACGGUACCUUAUUAGAAAGCCACGGCUAACUACGUGCCAGCAGCCGCGGUAAUACGUAGGUGGCAAGCGUUGUCCGGAAUAUUGGGCGUAAAGCGCGCGCAGGCGGUCCUUUAAGUCUGAUGUGAAGCCCACGGCUCACCGUGGAGGGUCAUUGGAAACUGGAGGACUUGAGUGCAGAAGAGGAAGUGGAAUCCCAGUGUAGCGGUGAAUGCGUAGAGAUUGGAGGACACCGUGGCGAGGCGACUUUCUGGUCUGUACUGACGCUGAGGCGCGAAGCGUGGGGAGCAACAGGAUAGAUACCUGGUA